This 303-nucleotide ribosomal RNA is filed under the name uncultured bacterium. RNAcentral describes it as "partial 16S ribosomal RNA". It matches the Rfam family "Bacterial small subunit ribosomal RNA", at positions 507 to 807 of the family's 1533-position model. The record is from RNAcentral.
AGCAGUCGCCGCGGUAAUACGGAGGGUGCAAGCGUUAAUCGGAAUUACUGGGCGUAAAGCGCACGCAGGCGGUCUGACAAGUCAGAUGUGAAAUCCCCGGGCUUAACCUGGGAACUGCAUUUGAAACUGUCAGGCUGGAGUCUUGUAGAGGGGGGUGGAAUUCCAGGUGUAGCGGUGAAAUGCGUAGAGAUCUGGAGGAAUACCGGUGGCGAAGGCGGCCCCCUGGACAAAGACUGACGCUCAGGUGCGAAAGCGUGGGGAGCAAACAGGAUUAGAUACCCCUGUUGUCCCUGUCUCUUAUAC